This is a long non-coding RNA of Oncorhynchus tshawytscha (Chinook salmon), 1056 nucleotides long. The record is from Ensembl. NCBI's taxonomy places the organism in Eukaryota, Metazoa, Chordata, Actinopteri, Salmoniformes, Salmonidae.
UUUCUGUUUAGUGUGUUUUGCACCUGACGGAGCUGUUUCGGGUGUUUUUUUUUUGUUGUUGCUUGUUGUAUAGUGUUCAGUUUAAAUUUUUAAAAGAUGAAUACGUACCACGCUGCACCUUGGUCCUUACCUUCAUCCACCAAAGGCCGUUACAGAACUACCCACCACCAAAGGACCAAGCAGCGUAGGUUAAUGGACUCCUGGACAUGGGAGGAGAUCCAGGACGGGAAGGGACCCUGGAGGCAGGCUGGGGAGUAUCGCCAUCCACAGGAGGAACUGGAGGCAGCUAAGGCUGAGUGGCAACACUACAAGGAGUUGGCACAGCAGCGCAAGCACGAGAGGCAGCUGGGAGUGUGGCGGAGACCUGGGAGCACGGGGAGCGGUGACUGAGACACCCCCUAUGCUACUUUGAGACCCCUCUUUUCAAAGUCACUGAGAUGUCUUCUUCUAGCCAUGUUAGCCAAACUACUGGGCAUACUUAUACAUGACCCUAACCUGUAACACUACUGCUACUCUCGUGGGGGAAUGUGUCACACCUCCUACACCUGUAUCUGUGGAACGACAUCCUUCAAGCCACUGUAAUGGUCCCAAGCCCUCAGGUUUUCAGUUCAAAGCUCUACAGUUCAACUGUAUCAUCAGAACAUGCAGCUGGCAGUAGAGAUAACAUUUAGGAUUCAGGGGAACUGGCACUGUAUGCAGGGAUCGGGGUGUCUUGACAUUUUGGAGCCCAAGCUUUACUGUACUGUUUGUGCUACUGGCAGAUCCAGUUCCUCUCUGCUGGUCCAGGACUGCUGGUCCAGGACUGCUACUGCUGGUGGUGAACAACAUCAGUCUAUUUUUGAUUAAAUGUUUUUCAGUAAAUAUGAUGAUUACAGUUUGGCCUGUAAACUGUUGUUGUAAUGAGCUUCUCUUUAUCUUCAUUUAAGAAAAAAGUAUGAGGGUAAUUUUGCAAUCUUGCACAAAUGUGGUUCUAUUUUAUUAUUUGACCCGCAUGCCCACUGUCUUGAUAAUGAUGAUAAAUGUUUUAUAUAUUCAACGGAGGACACUACUCAUCUC